RNAcentral lists this ribosomal RNA (497 nucleotides) under uncultured bacterium. RNAcentral describes it as "partial 16S ribosomal RNA". It matches the Rfam family "Bacterial small subunit ribosomal RNA", at positions 28 to 507 of the family's 1533-position model. The record is from RNAcentral.
GAUGAACGCUGGCGGCGUACCUAAUACAUGCAAGUCGAGCGAACAGAUGAGGAGCUUGCUCCUCUGACGUUAGCGGCGGACGGGUGAGUAACACGUGGAUAACCUACCUAUAAGACUGGGAUAACUUCGGGAAACCGGAGCUAAUACCGGAUAAUAUAUUGAACCGCAUGGUUCAAUAGUGAAAGACGGUUUUGCUGUCACUUAUAGAUGGAUCCGCGCCGCAUUAGCUAGUUGGUAAGGUAACGGCUUACCAAGGCAACGAUGCGUAGCCGACCUGAGAGGGUGAUCGGCCACACUGGAACUGAGACACGGUCCAGACUCCUACGGGAGGCAGCAGUAGGGAAUCUUCCGCAAUGGGCGAAAGCCUGACGGAGCAACGCCGCGUGAGUGAUGAAGGUCUUCGGAUCGUAAAACUCUGUUAUUGGGGAAGAACAAAUGUGUAAGUAACUAUGCACGUCUUGACGGUACCUAAUCAGAAAGCCACGGCUAACUACGUG